RNAcentral lists this ribosomal RNA (465 nucleotides) under uncultured bacterium. RNAcentral's name for it is "partial 16S ribosomal RNA". It matches the Rfam family "Bacterial small subunit ribosomal RNA", at positions 339 to 795 of the family's 1533-position model. The record is from RNAcentral.
CUACGGGAGGCACCAGUGGGGAAUAUUGGACAAUGGGGGAAACCCUGAUCCAGCAAUGCCGCGUGUGUGAAGAAGGCCUGCGGGUUGUAAAGCACUUUCGGUUGGGAGGACUGCUUCUAGCACUAAUAUUGUUGGAAGUUGACGUUACCUUCAGAAGAAGCACCGGCUAACUCCGUGCCAGCAGCCGCGGUAAUACGGAGGGUGCAAGCGUUAAUCGGAAUUACUGGGCGUAAAGCGCGCGUAGGCGGCUAGAUCAGUCGGGUGUGAAAGCCCCGGGCUUAACCUGGGAACUGCAUCCGAUACUGUCUAGCUUGAGUACGGGAGAGGAGAGUGGAAUUCCACAUGUAGCGGUGAAAUGCGUAGAUAUGUGGAGGAACACCAAUGGCGAAGGCAGCUCUCUGGCCUGAUACUGACGCUGAGGUGCGAAAGCGUGGGGAGCAAACAGGGUUAGAUACCCUCGUAGUC